UGCCGCCGCUGGAGCUGGCGAGGCCUCGGUCACCGUCGUCUCCGACUCGGGAACGUUACCUGAAGGGCGACACAGAGAGAGGGAGAGAGACCCGCAUUCUCUCCCUUCCCCCUUACUGCUGGAAGAAUUGCAAUUUAUUUCAAAAACAUUUGCAAAGCGACAAAGGCUUCAUUCAGAAGGUCAAGUGGCACCAACACAGGACCUGGAAAGGAAUCUAAGAUCGCUCAGCAAAUUUCCAGAAAUUCAAAAACGCAUUGACCCAGGUUGGAAUACUGCAACAGCAGAUGAUGGAAUUUGAACAAAAAAUCU
Chiloscyllium plagiosum (whitespotted bambooshark) is the source of this 309-nucleotide long non-coding RNA. RefSeq lists it as uncharacterized. The record is from RefSeq and is a predicted model, not a curated record. Lineage: Eukaryota; Metazoa; Chordata; Chondrichthyes; Orectolobiformes; Hemiscylliidae.